AUGAAGAACGCAGCGAAAUGCGAUAAGUAAUGUGAAUUGCAGAAUUCAGUGAAUCAUCGAAUCUUUGAACGCACAUUGCGCCCGCCAGUAUUCUGGCGGGCAUGCCUGUUCGAGCGUCAUUUCAACCAUCAAGCCCUGCUUGCGUUGGGGUCCUGCGGCUGCCCGCAGGCCCUGAAAACCAGUGGCGGGCUCGCUAGUCACACCGAGCGCAGUAAUACAUCUCGCUUUGGGCGUGCGGCGGGUUCUUGCCGUUAAACACCCCCUUUUUACCAAGGUUGACCUCGGAUCAGGUAGGAAUACCCGCUGAACUUAAGCAUAUUAAUAAGCGGAGGA
This 333-nucleotide unclassified non-coding RNA is filed under the name soil metagenome. RNAcentral's name for it is "partial contains 5.8S ribosomal RNA, internal transcribed spacer 2, and large subunit ribosomal RNA". The stretch from base 1 to 119 matches the Rfam family "5.8S ribosomal RNA", at positions 36 to 154 of the family's 154-position model. The record is from RNAcentral.